This 157-nucleotide small RNA is filed under the name human gut metagenome. RNAcentral's name for it is "Bacteroidales-1 6S-Bacteroidales RNA suggested". It matches the Rfam family "Bacteroidales-1 6S-Bacteroidales RNA suggested", at positions 16 to 162 of the family's 179-position model. The record is from RNAcentral.
AAAUUGGGAAACUCAUCAAAUUAUAAAGAAAUACCGAGACAAGCUUAGUCGUCAAUGGCGGGCCCCACAUCUUAUGAUGAUGGUCUCCUUAGACCACAGGCGGAUUACAAAGAUGGCCAAGCCCUCAAAACCUGUCGUUCGGAGUUUCGUCACAUUC